RNAcentral lists this long non-coding RNA (859 nucleotides) under Marmota monax (woodchuck). The record is from RNAcentral. Lineage: Eukaryota; Metazoa; Chordata; Mammalia; Rodentia; Sciuridae.
UUUUUUUUGAAACAGGGUCUCACUAACUUGCUGAACCUCAAACUUAGUGAUUUUCCUACCUCGUUGUACCAUAUAUCUGGGAUUAUAGAUAUGUGCCACCAUGCCCAGCUGGAAAAAUUUUUAUUUAUUUUUUGAUUAAGUUGUUGAUAUUACAAUGUGAAUUUCAGGUUUUUGGUACUGUGUCAAGGUAGAAUUCUCUAAAAGGAAGCAAAUCUAAUACACUACCAAUUGUCUCAGACCUUCCCAAAUAUGGUAGGCUUUUGAUAAUUGUAAUUAUGCACUCUUUGACUUGGUGUACUACAGGAACCCUGAUACAAAAUUGGAAAGGAAUUAUUAAAAUAAAAACAUCCAGUAAGAUAUGGUGGCACAGACCUGUAAUCCCAGCUCUUCAGGAGACUGAGGUAGGAAGAUGGAAAAUUCAAGGCCAGCCUGGGCAAUUUAGCAAGACCCUCUCUCAAAAAGGGCUGAUGGAGUGCUCCUGAGUUCAAUCCCCAGUACCAGGGGUGGAGCGUAAUCCAAAUAAUUCAGGUUGUGAAAAUAACUGAAGCCAAAAGACAAAUGUAUAUCCUUUAGACCGAGGAUUGGAAUUCUGAAUUUAUGCUUAGCAUAAUAUCUACUGUGUAUCAACCAUUAAAAAUUGUUUGGGUAAGACUAAUAAAUUUUUUAAAAAGUACUCAAAGCUACAGAAAAGAUGUGCAUACUAAUUAUUAAUUGCGAGCAUGUUCACAGAACUUAGAAAUAUGAAUAAUAAAGAAUACUGGGUCUCCAGGCACAGUGACUCUAAUCCCAGCAACUCAGGAGGCUAGACCAGGAGACAAGUCUCAGCAACUCAGUGAGACCCUGUCUCUAAAUAAAUACA